GCUGGAGCACAGUGGCACGAUCUUGGAUCACUGCAAGCUCCACCUCCCGGGCCUCAGUCUGCAGAGACACAGAAGCAAAUGAUUGUAUGAAGCUCCUGACUGUAUGAAGUUCUCAGUCAAACAAAAUAGUACCUCUUCUGCCCAUCUCAGAGGUGGAUAAGGAUAAAGUGAAAUAAUGGAAAGCACAAGGAACAGUAAAAGGCAAAUGUCAAGAAGCUGUUUGCAAAGUUACCAAGAUGUAAAAUUAGAUUUUACUUAUUAAUAAUCAUGUCACUUGUCAUUCUGUUUAUAAUGGUCAAUUCACUGCUGAUAUUCAAGUGGACCGUUUAAACUGUAUUUUUGCUCAGCUAUCCCUCCAAAUAAAUAUCUCAAAAUCUUGACUGUU
Homo sapiens (human) is the source of this 385-nucleotide long non-coding RNA. RefSeq lists it as uncharacterized. The record is from RefSeq and is marked validated. The transcript has 2 exons. Lineage: Eukaryota; Metazoa; Chordata; Mammalia; Primates; Hominidae.